GGAAGACGGUGCAAAUCCGUCGCAGACGCGCUGCUGUGACCGGGAAACAUGCCGGCUGUGCCCACUGGGUCCAAGGACCUGGGAAGGAUGCGGCCACCACGGCAGGGGGAACGUGCCCCCGCCCGGAAGCCAGAAGAC
This 138-nucleotide non-coding RNA is filed under the name Humidesulfovibrio mexicanus. Lineage: Bacteria; Pseudomonadati; Thermodesulfobacteriota; Desulfovibrionia; Desulfovibrionales; Desulfovibrionaceae. The record is from RNAcentral.